Molecule: ribosomal RNA, 309 nt
Filed under: uncultured bacterium
Lineage: Bacteria
Description: partial 16S ribosomal RNA
Rfam family: Bacterial small subunit ribosomal RNA
Source: RNAcentral
AGAGACAGCAGCAGCCACGGUAAUACGUAGGUCCCGAGCGUUGUCCGGAUUUAUUGGGCGCAAAGCGAGCGCAGGCGGUUAGAUAAGUCUGAAGUUAAAGGCUGUGGCUUGACCAUAGUACGCUUUGGAAACUGUUUAACUUGAGUGCAAGAGGGGAGAGUGGAAUUCCAUGUGUAGCGGUGAAAUGCGUGGAUAUAUGGAGGAACACCGGUGGCGAAAGCGGCUCUCUGGCUUGUAACUGACGCUGAGGCUCGAAAGCGUGGGGCGCAAACAGGAUUAGAUACCCCAGUAGUCCCUGUCUCUUAUACA